GUCGGGAGUCUUGCACAAUGGGGGAAACCCUGAUGCAGCGACGUCGCGUGUGGGAUGAAGUAUUUCGGUAUGUAAACCACUUUUGCGGGGGGCGAAAAAAAUGACGGUACCCCGCGAAUAAGCCCCGGCUAACUACGUGCCAGCAGCCGCGGUAAUACGUAGGGGGCGAGCGUUGCUCGGAUUGACUGGGCGUAAAGCGCGCGUAGGCGGUCCAGUAAGUGUGCGGUGAAAUUCGGAGGCUCAACCUCCGUCCCGCCGCGCAAACUGAUGGUCUUGAGAUUGGGAGGGGGAUGCGGAAUUCCUGGUGUAGCGGUGAAAUGCAUUGAUAUCAGGAGGAACACCGGCGGCGAAAGCGGCAUCCUGGCUUAUAUCUGACGCUGAGGCGCGAAAGCGUGGGUAGCAAACGGGAUUAGAUACCCGGGUAGUCC
Molecule: ribosomal RNA, 428 nt
Filed under: uncultured bacterium
Lineage: Bacteria
Description: partial 16S ribosomal RNA
Rfam family: Bacterial small subunit ribosomal RNA
Source: RNAcentral